Ostrea edulis (European flat oyster) is the source of this 677-nucleotide long non-coding RNA. RefSeq lists it as uncharacterized. Lineage: Eukaryota; Metazoa; Mollusca; Bivalvia; Ostreida; Ostreidae. The transcript is spliced from 2 exons. The record is from RefSeq and is a predicted model, not a curated record.
UGUAGGUGUCACCAUGAUUCCUAGCAUAUAGAUGGGUGCAAAUACGAAACUAAGACACGUGGUCAGUUGCUGAAGAAAUUCCGGUGAAAACAUGCAGGGUCUAGCAAAAGGUCUGUAGCUGUGAGGGAAGGUGGAUGGCCCCAUAUGAGAGAUGUGUUUCAUCUCUUCUGAAUUGUGAUCCAGAUCUCCUCUGCUGGGGAGGUUACAAAAUUGUGAACAGGGGUCACAACCUGACCUUCAACCAUUUUCACCUUGAACUUUCUAAGCAAAGCCACCAGUCCAAUUGUGACCUCAGCGUAAGCAAAUUUGUACCCAGGACAGAUUCUCUUGCCAGCGAAUCCGAACGGCUGGAAAGCAAGCCCUGGUCUGGACUUUGUGUUUUCUGGACUAAAUCGAUCUGGAUCAAACCUGUGAAGAUAGAGACAGCAAUUAGAAACUAACAUUCACUGAUGGAAAUAUUGACUGGGUUAAUACAUAUUUCUACAGCUGAUACAAUGUGAUUAAAUCAUGAUAUUACCUGUUAUAAACAUUUACCUGGAUAUCAUGCCACAACUUUUCAAAACAGUUCAAUCAAACAAGGUGUGUCAAUAAUAAAAGAAAAAAUGAAAAUGAAGUGACCUUAAACUUUCCAGAUUUAGCUUUUUCAAUGUGCAAAAAUAAAGAACAUUAAAAACCAU